This 253-nucleotide ribosomal RNA is filed under the name uncultured bacterium. Its description in RNAcentral is "partial 16S ribosomal RNA". It matches the Rfam family "Bacterial small subunit ribosomal RNA", at positions 524 to 776 of the family's 1533-position model. The record is from RNAcentral.
UACGUAGGGGGCAAGCGUUGUCCGGAAUCAUUGGGCGUAAAGCGCGUGUAGGCGGCCCGAUAAGUCCGCUGUGAAAGUCCAGGGCUCAACCCUGGGAUGCCGGUGGAUACUGUCGGGCUCGAGUCCGGAAGAGGCGAGUGGAAUUCCUGGUGUAGCGGUGAAAUGCGCAGAUAUCAGGAGGAACACCAACGGCGAAGGCAGCUCGCUGGGACGGUACUGACGCUGAGGAGCGAAAGCGUGGGGAGCGAACAGG